GCCCCAUGAUGAGACCAAGGCGAAUAUGAGCUCACUGAAUGAGAGUUGGGUCCUUCUUGCCUUGACUGGCAGGUAAUCUUGGUAGUGUAGAGGAGCAUUCCUGCUCUGCUGUAAGGGCCUGCCUACAGUAAUCCUGGCUCACUCCCCAAUUAUUCCUUUAAAGUUACGAUGGAGUAAUCACGGGGGUGAAGCUAACAGUGUGUGUGUUUGUGUGCAUACAUGGUUGUGUGUGUGUGUGUGUGUGUGUGUGUGUGUGUGUGUGUGUGUGUGUGUGUGUGUGUGUGUGUGUAAAAGGCAAGGAGUACACCCAACUCUCUUUGUGCUUCAGUCAGCCAUGAGUUGCUUCUUUGGUAAUCUGAGGGCA
Acanthopagrus latus (yellowfin seabream) is the source of this 364-nucleotide small nucleolar RNA. The record is from RefSeq and is a predicted model, not a curated record. NCBI's taxonomy places the organism in Eukaryota, Metazoa, Chordata, Actinopteri, Spariformes, Sparidae.